Molecule: transfer RNA, 27 nt
Filed under: Sphenomorphus melanopogon
Lineage: Eukaryota; Metazoa; Chordata; Lepidosauria; Squamata; Scincidae
Description: partial tRNA-Leu
Source: RNAcentral
UCCUUUUACGGCUUUUAAAGGAUCUUA